AUGGAAGCUAGAAGGGGUGGGACAGGAGGGGUCGCGAGAACCCGCUCAUCCUUCCUAGCUGCAUGGUGUAAACCUUACCCGGGAAUCAUAGAUCCUCUCAUAGCCGAAGCUCUCGCUCUACGCGAUGGCAUUCUUUUUGCACAUCUCCGAGGCUAUGUUGAAGUGGUUUUCGAGUCUGAUAAUUUGGAGAUUAUGAAUCUCUGGAACUCGUGUCACAAUGAUCGUGCAGUGGUGGCGCCUAUCUUGUCUGAAAUUGGGGAGCAUGUUCUCUUCUUUAAGUCUUUUGUAAUUCAGCAUGUUGGUAGGUCAGCUAAUGUUUCUGCUCACCUUUGUGCUAAAGCAAGCUAGCACUCUAGAUGCACAGAAUGUUGGAUUGACUCUACACCGAGUCUUCUUGUAACCAGCCUCUCAGCUGAUAAUGCUGGAGCUGUAUGUGUUGAAUUAAGAGCUCUCAGUUUCCCUGCAGAAAAAAAUAGUAUCAUAUGA
RNAcentral lists this ribosomal RNA (486 nucleotides) under Triticum aestivum (bread wheat). Its description in RNAcentral is "partial small subunit ribosomal RNA". Lineage: Eukaryota; Viridiplantae; Streptophyta; Magnoliopsida; Poales; Poaceae. The record is from RNAcentral.